This is a non-coding RNA of Vicia faba (fava bean), 384 nucleotides long. NCBI's taxonomy places the organism in Eukaryota, Viridiplantae, Streptophyta, Magnoliopsida, Fabales, Fabaceae. The record is from the annotation of a GenBank genome assembly.
CUCACAUUUUUCUCCCAAUUCACUCUAAGAUCAAACACUACUCUCUCAACUUUUUCCCCAAAUUGUUCAAGAACAAAAAUCAACAAAACUUCAAAAACUUCAAUUCUUCUCCCUUCUUUCUCUAAUCACCACCGCUUCUCACUCUGCAAGCUAGCUUAUGCGUCAAUUCCAGUCACUCCCUCAGUUAUCGCGCAAUCUCUGAUCACAUCUCCUCCAUGCAAAUACAUCGCAGUUGCUCCCUCCAUCGUCUCCACAUUUGUUUCAGGCGAGAUCUCCCUCUUUUCUGUGCAUUUUCCGGCCAGCACCGGUGUUCCUCUGAUUUCGUGCGCUUUUCCGGUUUCUCCUCUUUGCAUCAAUCCUAUAAUUCACUUUAAUUGCACUUGU